GUUCUGAUAGUUUAAAUAUAAAACAUCAAAAUGUGGCUUUGAAAAUAAAUUUUUAUUUUCAGGACC
This 66-nucleotide transfer RNA is filed under the name Pholoe pallida. RNAcentral's name for it is "tRNA-His". The record is from RNAcentral. Lineage: Eukaryota; Metazoa; Annelida; Polychaeta; Phyllodocida; Pholoidae.